AACGAACGCUGGCGGCAUGCCUAACACAUGCAAGUCGAACGAAGGCUUCGGCCUUAGUGGCGCACGGGUGCGUAACGCGUGGGAAUCUGCCCUUUGGUUCGGAAUAACAGCUGGAAACGGCUGCUAAUACCGGAUGAUGACGAAAGUCCAAAGAUUUAUCGCCAGAGGAUGAGCCCGCGUUGGAUUAGGUAGUUGGUGGGGUAAAGGCCUACCAAGCCGACGAUCCAUAGCUGGUCUGAGAGGAUGAUCAGCCACACUGGGACUGAGACACGGCCCAGACUCCUACGGGAGGCAGCAGUGGGGAAUAUUGGACAAUGGGCGCAAGACUGAUCCAGCAAUGCCGCGUGAGUGAUGAAGGCCCUAGGGUUGUAAAGCUCUUUUACCCGGGAAGAUAAUGACUGUACCGGGAGAAUAAGCCCCGGCUAACUCCGUG
This 433-nucleotide ribosomal RNA is filed under the name uncultured bacterium. RNAcentral's name for it is "partial 16S ribosomal RNA". It matches the Rfam family "Bacterial small subunit ribosomal RNA", at positions 29 to 507 of the family's 1533-position model. The record is from RNAcentral.